This 210-nucleotide unclassified non-coding RNA is filed under the name Hevea brasiliensis (rubber tree). The record is from RNAcentral. Lineage: Eukaryota; Viridiplantae; Streptophyta; Magnoliopsida; Malpighiales; Euphorbiaceae.
GGCAAGAGUUUUUGUUGGAUGUGGUUUGGUAUUGAAAUGCAGUGUAGUUGUGAAUUGAUUAUUUCUGUUUGCUGUCGUUUAGCUGGUUUUGGACUGCCACAUAAUCUGGUGCAUUUUUUGUCUACUGUUUUGCUAUAUUUUCUGAUGUUUAGUUAGUGGCUUGUACUUCAAUCUUACAUGUUGCUUGGGCUUUGACUUGUGCUUUGCGAA